GUAGGUGGCAAGCGUUGUCCGGAAUUAUUGGGCGUAGAGCGCGCGCAGGGCGGUCCUUUAAGUCUGAUGUGAAAGCCCACGGCUCAACCGUGGAGGGUCAUUGGAAACUGGGGGACUUGAGUACAGAAGAGGAAAGCGGAAUUCCAAGUGUAGCGGUGAAAUGCGUAGAGAUUUGGAGGAACACCAGUGGCGAAGGCGGCUUUCUGGUCUGUAACUGACGCUGAGGCGCGAAAGCGUGGGGAGCAAACAGGAUUAGAUACCCUGGUAGUCCACGCCGUAAACGAUGAGUGCUAAGUGUUAGGGGGUUUCCGCCCCUUAGUGCUGCAGCUAACGCAUUAAGCACUCCGCCUGGGGAGUACGGCCGCAAGGCUG
Molecule: ribosomal RNA, 372 nt
Filed under: uncultured organism
Description: partial 16S ribosomal RNA
Rfam family: Bacterial small subunit ribosomal RNA
Source: RNAcentral